RNAcentral lists this ribosomal RNA (372 nucleotides) under uncultured organism. Its description in RNAcentral is "bacterial SSU rRNA". It matches the Rfam family "Bacterial small subunit ribosomal RNA", at positions 526 to 896 of the family's 1533-position model. The record is from RNAcentral.
CAGAGGUCUCAAGCGUUGUUCGGAUUCAUUGGGCGUAAAGGGUGUGUAGGUGGCGCUGUAAGUCGGGUGUGAAAUCUCGGGGCUUAACUCCGAAACUGCAUUCGAUACUGCGGUGCUUGAGGACUGGAGAGGAGACUGGAAUUCAUGGUGUAGCAGUGAAAUGCGUAGAGAUCAUGAGGAAGACCAGUGGCGAAGGCGGGUCUCUGGACAGUUCCUGACACUGAGACACGAAGGCCAGGGGAGCAAACGGGAUUAGAUACCCCGGUAGUCCUGGCAGUAAACGGUGCACGUUUGGUGUGGGAGGAUUCGACCCCUUCUGCGCCGGAGCUAACGCGUUAAACGUGCCGCCUGGGGAGUACGGUCGCAAGAUUA